This is a long non-coding RNA of Syngnathus acus (greater pipefish), 625 nucleotides long. RefSeq lists it as uncharacterized. The transcript has 2 exons. NCBI's taxonomy places the organism in Eukaryota, Metazoa, Chordata, Actinopteri, Syngnathiformes, Syngnathidae. The record is from RefSeq and is a predicted model, not a curated record.
GGAGCCAGUCCAAGUCCCGAUCGUGAAUGAAUCCAUCGUCCAACCCCUCUCCUGAAAACACUCAUGGCGAGAGUGCACACGAUUGACAAAAGCUGGUCGUUGCGUGGUGCCAAAUAUUUGUUCGGCCGACAUAACUGCCUGAAAUUGGCUGGCAACCAAUUCAGGGUGUCCCCUGCCUACUGCCCGUAGUCAGCUGGGAUCGGCUCCAGCGCACCCCCGACCCAUUUCACUGACGUACAACUACAAGUUACCGCGGGAGGAACCAGCAGCGUAGCAGAGCCGAGCUUUCUGGACUGGAAUUGGCAACCAGCAAUGUCUGGUAGGUUUUCCGUGGUUACGUUAACUUGCUUGGUCGGUCUUGAUUUGUUGUGUUGGACUCAAUUGAGAAGAGUUCCAGAUCCAGGCAUUGUUUUGUCUUUCUGGUAGCAAAAUAGCUGGGGGAGGAGCCCCAGCAGGCCCCACUUACAGUUCAAACCUCUACAUACGAAUUGAAUUCGUUCCGGGACCUACUUUGUAUGUUCAAAUAGUCGUAUGUUGGAUUAAAUAUUCCCAUAAGAAUACACUUUAAUUUGUUUAAUUUAUUCCACAACCAAAAAAAAUAACCCAAUGAUAACUCCUUAAUAAA